GACUAACGCUGGCGGCGUGCCUAAUACAUGCAAGUCGAACGGAAUUCUUUGAUCAGCUUGCUGAGAGAAGGAUCUAGUGGCGGACGGGUGAGUAACGCGUGGGAAUCUGCCUCUUACUGGGGGAUAACAGUGGGAAACUACUGCUAAUACCGCAUAAGAUCUUCGGAUGAAAGGUGCAACUGCACCGGUAAGAGAUGAGCCCGCGUCCCAUUAGCUAGUUGGUGAGGUAAAGGCUCACCAAGGCGACGAUGGGUAGCCGGCCUGAGAGGGUGAACGGCCACACUGGGACUGAGACACGGCCCAGACUCCUACGGGAGGCAGCAGUAGGGAAUCUUCCGCAAUGGGCGCAAGCCUGACGGAGCGACGCCGCGUGAGUGAUGAAGGCCUUCGGGUCGUAAAGCUCUGUUCUUGAGGACGAAUAAGCCAGGGAGUGGAAAGCCCGUGGUGAUGACUGUACUCAAGGAGAAAGCUCCGGCUAACUACGUGCCG
RNAcentral lists this ribosomal RNA (489 nucleotides) under uncultured bacterium. RNAcentral describes it as "bacterial SSU rRNA". It matches the Rfam family "Bacterial small subunit ribosomal RNA", at positions 28 to 510 of the family's 1533-position model. The record is from RNAcentral.